RNAcentral lists this ribosomal RNA (649 nucleotides) under uncultured fungus. Its description in RNAcentral is "eukaryotic LSU rRNA". It matches the Rfam family "Eukaryotic large subunit ribosomal RNA", at positions 34 to 657 of the family's 3401-position model. Lineage: Eukaryota; Fungi. The record is from RNAcentral.
UUAAGCAUAUCAAUAAGCGGAGGAAAAGAAACUAACAAGGAUUCCCCUAGUAACUGCGAGUGAAGCGGGAAAAGCUCAAAUUUAAAAUCUGGUGGCCUUUGGUCAUCCGAGUUGUAAUUUAGAGAAGUGUCUUCCGCGCUGAACCGUGCACAAGUCUCCUGGAAUGGAGCGUCAUAGAGGGUGAGAAUCCCGUCUUUGGCACGGAACAUCAGGGCUUCUGUGAUGCGCUCUCGACGAGUCGAGUUGUUUGGGAAUGCAGCUCAAAAUGGGUGGUGAACUCCAUCUAAAGCUAAAUAUUGGCGAGAGACCGAUAGCGAACAAGUACCGUGAGGGAAAGAUGAAAAGCACUUUGGAAAGAGAGUGAAACAGUACGUGAAAUUGUUGAAAGGGAAACGCUUGAAGUCAGUCGCGUUGACCGAGACUCAACCUUGCCUCGGCUUGGUGUACUUCUCGGCUGACGGGUCAGCAUCAAUUUUGAUCCUUGGAUAAUGGCAAGGGAAAGGUAGCACCUUUUUAGGUGUGUUAUAGUCCUUUGUCGCAUACGGGGGUUGGGAUUGAGGAACUCAGCACGCACCUCUCGGUGUCGGGGCCUCGGCCCACGCUACGUGCUUAGGAUGCUGGCGUAAUGGCUUUAAACGACCCGUCUUGA